UAGGGAAUCUUCCACAAUGGGCGCAAGCCUGAUGGAGCAACACCGCGUGAGUGAAGAAGGGUUUCGGCUCGUAAAGCUCUGUUGUUGGAGAAGAACGUGCGUGAGAGUAACUGUUCACGCAGUGACGGUAUCCAACCAGAAAGUCACGGCUAACUACGUGCCAGCAGCCGCGGUAAUACGUAGGUCCCGAGCGUUGUCCGGAUUUAUUGGGCGUAAAGCGAGCGCAGGCGGCUAGAUAAGUCUGAAGUUAAAGGCUGUGGCUUAACCAUAGUACGCUUUGGAAACUGUUUAACUUGAGUGCAAGAGGGGAGAGUGGAAUUCCAUGUGUAGCGGUGAAAUGCGUAGAUAUAUGGAGGAACACCGGUGGNGAAAGCGGCUCUCUGGCUUGUAACUGACGCUGAGGCUCGAAAGCGUGGGGAGCAAACAGGAUUAGAUACCCUGGUAGUCCACGCCGUAAACGAUGAGUGCUAGGUGUUAGACCCUUUCCGGGGUUUAGUGCCGUAGCUAACGCAUUAAGCACUCCGCCUGGGGAGUACGACCGCAAGGUUG
This 549-nucleotide ribosomal RNA is filed under the name uncultured bacterium. Its description in RNAcentral is "bacterial SSU rRNA". It matches the Rfam family "Bacterial small subunit ribosomal RNA", at positions 355 to 896 of the family's 1533-position model. The record is from RNAcentral.